GGUCGGCGGUUACAUAACCGUAUCGAGUUUUGCUUUUAGGGUGGGAAGCU
This 50-nucleotide non-coding RNA is filed under the name unclassified sequences. The record is from RNAcentral.